GGAAGGAUCAUUAACACGUAUCCACGUUAAACCCCCCGUGCACGUUGAGGAGGACAGACGUCAGGCAUUACAGGUAAGACGCUGUUUUUAUGCUUUGAUCUGGAAACGGAUCAAGGCGAGGAAUGGUGUGCCUGGUGCGCUGAUUCGUUUCUGAUACUGGGCUUGUUAGACUGCUCACAUUUCAGGCAGACGCCAUUUUUAUGCUUCGAUCUGGAAACGGAUCAAGGCGAGGAAUGAUGUGUCUGGUGUGUGCACGAAGGCUUGCUUGGUUCUGAGAAACUCGAAGGGCAUCCAGGAGGCGAGCUACGUUGAUAGGUUCGCCCUCGAGGUUGUUGACUGCUUUUGUCGGUGCUUGAGAUUGGGGGAAGAUCCGGAGACCAUCCGGUGACCUGUCUAACCGCAAGUGUCGGCAGGGGUGGUUGACGAUUAAGAGGCGUUGAGUAGUGAGUCUGCCCAUAUUAUUGAUUACCCCCUACCCCAAAAAAAAGACAAAUCAUAUGUCCGUACUGGUGCAAACCGGGACAUUUAACGUAACCCGAACAACUGUUAACAAUGGAUAUCUUGGUUCUCGCAACGAUGAAGAACGCAGCGAAAUGCGAUACGUAAUGCGAAUUGCAGAAUUCAGUGAAUCAUCGAAUCUUUGAACGCAAAUUGCGCUCUCGGGGUUCCCCCUGAGAGCACACCUCGCUGACUAUCGGUUUAAAACAAGUAUCCCACCUUUUGGUGGUGAUAAUCAUUGAGCGUUAGGCAUGCCCCUUUGGGGAGUGUGUCUAUCGCUUUAAAUACAGUCAUUCUACUCAUUGAAUGGCUCUUGCAAGUUGGUUUCACUUCGGUGAAUCAGAUUUACAAGGGUCAUCCGACGGUCUUUGGAGUGAUGGAGAUGCUUAGGUAAUGGUCGUUUUUGAAUUCACUGAGCUUAACGGGCUUGCGAACGAGAGAUGCGAAUGUGAAAACAUUAUGCAUCACUUGGUUGAAAGCAAUGUGAGCUUGGGGUUACUAGAAGACAAAACCGCUACUCGAGCGCCUCUGGAUCGACAAUUUCAGUUGGCCUUGAGGUAUAAGUUUGCUGGAAAGUGAAAGCGAAGAACGAAGUUCUCAAGUCAUGAAGUUUUCCUGGCGAACAACUCUAGCCGGAGAGCACGCGGACUUGAGCGUGGAGUUUUUCAAACCCCUUGAAUUAGAUGUCAGCUGAAGUGAGAAAACCCCCUGAAUUUAAGCAUAUUAUUAAGGGGAGGAAAAGAAACUAACAAGGAUUCCCCUAGUAACGGCGAGUGAAGCGGGAAGAGCUCAAACUUGAAAUCCGCUGGCGUAACAACCUGCGGACUUGUAGCCUAGAGACACUCUCUCAGUGCUGGACCGGUUAUAAAUCCCUUGGAACGGGGUAUCAUAGAGGGUGAGAAUCCCGUCUUUGAGCUGGAUCCAAGUACGUACGAGGAGUGUUCCAAGAGUCGUGUUGCUUGGGAGUGCAGCACUAAAUGGGUGGUAAAGUUCAUCUAAAGCUAAAUACUGGCGAGAAACCGAUAGCGAACAAGUACCGUGAGGGAAAGAUGAAAAGAACUUUGAAAAGAGAGUUAAAAAGUACUUGAAAUUGUUAACAGGGAAGGGCAGGAAACCAGUAAUUCUUGGGUGUACUUGCGGACGCUUAACGGCUGCCGUUACUUGCAUUCGGGAGAGUCAUCAUCAUUUAGAGUCGUUGGAGAAAGCGUAGAGGUUGGUGCCACUCCAUCGUGUUUGGUUUAGCCUUUACGUCCUACAUUGGCUCUGAAUGAGGAAGAGAACCCGCACCCUUCGGGGUACGGCGCCUUGUUGCCUGUUUGUCCUAGUGCUUGAGAGAACAAAGUUCUGUCGGCGCGAAAGGCGAACACUGCGGCGGGUGCGUCAGUUGCUGGGUUCGCGAUGAUGACGAAAUGGUUUUCUUCCACCCGUCUUGAAACACGGACCAAGGAGUCUAACAUAUAUGCGAGUAUUUGGGUGACAAACCCUGAUGCGCAAUGAAAGUAAAGUGGUGCAAACCAUGAGGUGGGAAUCUUACCUUCGGGUGGGAGGCACCAUCGACCGAUCGAUCGCUUGCGAAAGAUUUGAGUAAUAGCAUGUAUGUUGGGACCCGAAAGAUGGUGAUCUAUGCCUGAACAGGGUGAAGCCAGGGGAAACUCUGGUGGAAGCUCGUAGCGAUACUGACGUGCAAAUCGUUCGUCUGAUUUGGGUAUAGGGGCGAAAGACUAAUCGAACCAUCUAGUAGCUGGUUCCCUC
This 2250-nucleotide unclassified non-coding RNA is filed under the name uncultured fungus. Its description in RNAcentral is "sequence contains 18S rRNA gene, ITS1, 5.8S rRNA gene, ITS2, 28S rRNA gene". The stretch from base 1180 to 2250 matches the Rfam family "Eukaryotic large subunit ribosomal RNA", at positions 1 to 961 of the family's 3401-position model. Lineage: Eukaryota; Fungi. The record is from RNAcentral.